CGGCAGUUAUGGAGCAUGCGCAGCAGCAGGGGCGGCCGCAGGUCGCCGUUCAAUAAUACGUAAUGUAUAGACUUUUGAGUAUACGAAGCUCCCUGUUUCUCUAGGUUCACCUGAGAUUUAUCUGGUCUUUCAGGGCUUAAAAGGGAGACAUUCCCAAAGAAGAUUCCGUGGGAAGUCUCCUACAAGCCCCGAAGGAAGGGAAUCUCUCUCCUCAUACCUUGAGUUUCCUGAGUACAAUUAUUAUAGAUAUACGAAGAUCUCUGUGCUCAUGGAGAAUUUGUGUCAAGGGAUUUGUACAGCCCUGUAGGAGACACCUCCAGAGAAAGUAACAGCUCUCAAUUGAUUAGCUGAGGAGACCGAUUUUGUAAAUCACUACUUUUCUAACAACACUGGCACAGAUGGCCAAGCAUUCUCCCUUUUCUCAGAGCUGGUUUUCCAUCCCGGAAAGAGGUCUUACAUAUACAAAGUUACUCUAAUCAGUUGGCCAGAAUUAGCUUCUGUUACUUACAACUGUGAGUCCUGACUGAAAACAUAUUUCUUCCUUUGAAGAACUGUUACCUGUAACAGGCUAAGAAGAAUAUUAAGAAUAAACAGAUGCUUUUACAGCUCGCCUUGGCGGGAAGAUCUGGCACAAAUGAAGUAUCUAUAAGGAGCAGCAGAGUCAAGGUGGUGAUCCUGUGGAUGAAUAACUGAAACCUGAUAUACUUGACAGCAGAAAAUAUAAAGCAAAUUGAAAAGGAGAGAGUGUGGAGAUAAAUAAGAAAAUGAAAGAACUGAUAAAGUCACUUGGAUUAAAAAACCUGGGAGUAAGGGCUUUGUUUAUGAUUGAACUUAAGAGAGAAUUGAGGGACCACCUACCUUUGAUGUUAACGAGAAAGUAAAGAGGAAACAUAUUUAGAGAUACCCUUUGGUGAAAAACAGAAAUGGAUGUGUCAUUUGAUGCAUCACAUUAUUUAUUCAACAAACUCUUAGUGAGAACUUACUGUGUGACUGGAUUUAGUGACUUGCUUCAUCAAUGGAAUACACUCAAAUAACAUUUUGGAAUUUCUGAGACUGUCAUAAAAAGCUGAAGGGCUUCUAUUGGGCUUCCUGAAAUGCUCCCUUUUGGAUCCCUGAGCAGCCAUGUGAGUUUAACUACUCUGCAGGAGAGAGUAUGUGAAAAGGAACCUACCUAAGCCCAGCCUCCUUGUCAUCCACAGGAAGACACCAGACAAAUGAGUUACACUGUUUUGGACUCCCCAACACAACCCAGCCACCGGCUGAAUGCCACCAAAUUACCUUCUAGUUAAAGGUUUAUGGAGCAAACGAAUCACCUAUUCAAUAUCUGCUUGAAUUUAGUUAACUAUAACCAGAUGGAAUAACUUUGAAGCCUCAGGGGCUGGAUCCUGACAUGAACCAGACACCUCCAGAAUUCUAUCCCAAGCAAAAGAUUAUUUCAAGGCCAGAACUCACUCCCUGCUGGAGACUGACUACAAGAUCCACUGAGAUUGAUGUGUAACCUGAUUGGGCCCACAGUGAUGCUAGCCCCUUCACCAGAUGGAACAAUAAUUCCAGACAAGCCAUCAGAGCAGAGAGCAGAGAAGAGGAGAAGCAGCUGGAUGUCAGAGACUGCAGUUUGACGUUGGAGAAAAGCAGCUUGACUUCAGAGGGACAGCUUGACAGCAUGGAUUCAGAGAGGAGAAGAUCACCUUCCUGCUCCGUCCCCUUUCCAGCUCCCUUUCCCACUGAGGUAUGUACUGUGUGACUUAAAUAUUGAGUUUAUUUUUAUCAAAUACCUGUCAAGAAAGAAAGUCAAUUCUGAAACAGCAGAAGCUCAAAGUUCUACAGAUGGCUUUCAAAGGAAUUUGAAUUAGACAUCAUUUGAUGUUGCAAAAAACAAUGACAUCUUUUAUAGCUCUAAACAUCAGUUUUUAAAUUAGAGAUUGAUCUAUAAAGGAGCUAAGUUUGCAUAAUCAUUAUUCAUUUUAAGAUAAUAAUAUAUGAUAGGUACUAAAUUAUAUAGUAGUUUUGUGUAGAGAUUUAUACAUAUUUUCUGAUUGCCAUCAUCACAUCAUCUAAUUAUUUAGAAAUUUCAUUUUCAGAACCUUGGAUUUUGGACAUAGAGCUUUGAAAAAUAU
Molecule: long non-coding RNA, 2117 nt
Filed under: Homo sapiens (human)
Lineage: Eukaryota; Metazoa; Chordata; Mammalia; Primates; Hominidae
Description: HSALNT0045646
Source: RNAcentral